GCCGGGAGAGAAGACAGGGCAUGUGAUGAGGGGCAGAAAGACGGCGUUGGACCUGGAAUCAGCUAAUCUCAAGAGCGACCAGCAGGAGGUGCACUAGUGUGGCUCAACUGUAAUACAUCUUGAACCAAUUCCUGUGCCGUACUUGGGACUAACCUGGGAGUAGCAUCACCUAUUGAGUGGUUUAGAAGUUGUUCUUCCGAGGAGCAGCUGGUUAAGGAAUUCUCUGGAUCUUGCUAAAAGUCUCGUGGGCGGCACAGAACAGACACAGAGCAUACCAGCGCUACGAGAAGUGUGAGUUAAGGCACACGCAGCUCCCGUACCUGAGAGGCCAGCACUAUGCCACCC
Molecule: long non-coding RNA, 345 nt
Organism: Chelonia mydas (Green sea turtle)
Lineage: Eukaryota; Metazoa; Chordata; Testudines; Cheloniidae
Exons: 3
Source: RefSeq, a predicted model, not a curated record